This is a long non-coding RNA of Gasterosteus aculeatus aculeatus (three-spined stickleback), 874 nucleotides long. The record is from Ensembl. Lineage: Eukaryota; Metazoa; Chordata; Actinopteri; Perciformes; Gasterosteidae.
AAAGAAUGUGGUUGUAAAUCAAAAAGAAGAUCAUUUUUGUUAUCAAUCAAUAGGUCAGGAAAUGAUAAAUGUAAUAUAUAAACUCAAGUAAAUGAAUAUUUACUGUAUAAUAUAGUAAAAUUACAGGAGAGGACCUUUAAGCGAAGCUUACGUGUGAAUCAAUAAUAUUGUGUUGUUGUUGCGGCUUGUGCGUAUUUCAUAUUUUAUUACAAUGUGUGUGUGACAGAUAAAAAACCAUUGCAACCAUUAUCAAUAUCCAAUCCACCAGUCUGUGUGUGGGGGGGGGGGUCUCUGUCCCCUCCCCCCUCACUAAACUGCUCUGUGAGAUCGACUGAGAGGGGGAGAGGGCGGGGUGAGCGAUAUGUGAGGGAGGAGAGGAAGAAAGGGUGAGUCAGUGUUACCUAGAGACAGAGAGAGAGAGAUACAGAGCGAGAGAGAGAGGUAGAGAUACGGAGAGAGAGAGAGAGGUAGAGAUACGGAGAGAGAGAGAGAGAGGUAGAGAUACAGAGCGAGAGAGAGAGAUACGGAGAGAGAGAGAGAGAGGUAGAGAUACGGAGAGAGAGAGAGUGUCAUGCAUCGCUGAGUGACAGCCGAGCCAGCCAUCGAGCGUCCGGUUCUCCGCCGGCAGACACACGGGCAAACGCGAGGGUGAUGGAGGACGGAGGGGCGAGGCUGCUGCAUGCGGUAACCAUGGCGCAGCCGUCUCCGUGCGCGUCGCCGGGCACCCGUCGCCGUAGCGAUGGUUCGGUAAGAGAGUCUCUGUUCUUCCCCGUUUCCGAACGCAACGAGCAGGAGAGGCUGGAGGCCCUGGUCCGCCGGAGAGCAGGAGGCGCCGAGAGACGAGGAGGAGGAGGGGGAGGAGGAGGGGGAGGAG